GAUGAACGCUAGCGGCAGGCCUAAUACAUGCAAGUCGAACGGUGUCUUCGGACAUAGUGGCGCACGGGUGCGUAACACGUAUGCAACCUACCUUACAUCGGGGGAUAGCCUUUCGAAAGGGAGAUUAAUACCGCAUAAGACAGUAGCUGGGCAUCCAGCAGCUGUUAAAGAUUUAUCGAUGUAAGAUGGUCAUGCGUAGAAGUAGUUAGUUGGCGAGGUAAUGGCUCACCAAGACUUUGAUUGGUAGGGGAACUGAGAGGUCAAUCCCCCACACUGGCACUGAGAUACGGGCCAGACUCCGACGGGAGGCAGCAGUAGGGAAUAGUGGGCAAUGGACGCAAGUCUGACCCAGCCAUGCCGCGUGCAGGAUGAAGGCGUUAUGCGUUGUAAACUGCUUUUAUACAGGAAGAAACGACUCUUGCGAGAGGCAUUGACGGUACUGUAUGAAUAAGCACCGGCUAACUCCGUGCCAGCCGCCGCCGUAA
Molecule: ribosomal RNA, 485 nt
Filed under: uncultured bacterium
Lineage: Bacteria
Description: partial 16S ribosomal RNA
Rfam family: Bacterial small subunit ribosomal RNA
Source: RNAcentral